RNAcentral lists this ribosomal RNA (495 nucleotides) under uncultured bacterium. Its description in RNAcentral is "partial 16S ribosomal RNA". It matches the Rfam family "Bacterial small subunit ribosomal RNA", at positions 28 to 507 of the family's 1533-position model. The record is from RNAcentral.
GACGAACGCUGGCGGCGUGCCUAAUACAUGCAAGUAGAACGCUGCCGGCGGAGCUUGCUUCUCUGGAUGAGUUGCGAACGGGUGAGUAACGCGUAGGUAACCUGCCUGGUAGCGGGGGAUAACUAUUGGAAACGAUAGCUAAUACCGCAUAAGAGUAGAUGUUGCAUGACAUUUGCUUAAAAGGUGCAAUUGCAUCACUACCAGAUGGACCUGCGUUGUAUUAGCUAGUUGGUGGGGUAACGGCUCACCAAGGCGACGAUACAUAGCCGACCUGAGAGGGUGAUCGGCCAAGCUGGGACGGAGACACGGCCCAGACUCCUACGAGAGACAGCAGUAGGGAAUCUUCGGCAAUGGACGGAAGUCUGACCGAGGAACGCCGCGUGAGUGAAGGAGGUUGUCGGAUCGUGAAGCUCUGUUGUAAGAGAAGAACGAGUGUGAGAGUGGAAAGUGCACACUGUGACAGUAUCGGACCAGAAAGGGACGGCUAACUACGUG